This 343-nucleotide ribosomal RNA is filed under the name Acidobacteria bacterium enrichment culture clone C38_08_H19. Its description in RNAcentral is "bacterial SSU rRNA". It matches the Rfam family "Bacterial small subunit ribosomal RNA", at positions 15 to 354 of the family's 1533-position model. The record is from RNAcentral. Lineage: Bacteria; Pseudomonadati; Acidobacteriota.
GAUCCUGGCUCAGAAUCAACGCUGGCGGCGUGCCUCAGACAUGCAAGUCGAACGAUUAAAGCUCCCUUCGGGGAGUGCAUAAAGUGGCGCACGGGUGAGUAACACGUAAGUAAUCUACCCUCGGGUGGGGAAUAACGUCCGGAAACGGACGCUAAUACCGCAUAAUGCAGCGGCACCGCAAGGUGACAGUUGUUAAAGAUUUAUUGCCUGGGGAGGAGCUUGCGGCAGAUUAGCUAGUUGGUAAGGUAACGGCUUACCAAGGCUACGAUCUGUAUCCGGUCUAAGAGGACGGUCGGACACACUGACACUGAAUAACGGGUCAGACUCCUACGGGAGGCAGCAG